RNAcentral lists this ribosomal RNA (241 nucleotides) under Cyphomyrmex rimosus. RNAcentral describes it as "partial large subunit ribosomal RNA". The record is from RNAcentral. Lineage: Eukaryota; Metazoa; Arthropoda; Insecta; Hymenoptera; Formicidae.
GAAAAUUUUAUAUAAAUUUAUUCUAUUAUUAGUAAGUAAAAAAUUGGAUUUAGUUUAAGAAUAAAAUAUUUAUAUUUAAUUGGGAGGAUUGUUAAAUUAUAUAAACUUUGGAUUUAGAAUUACAUAAAUGAAUGGAAUGAAUUAAUUUAAGAAGAAGAAUCAAUAAAUUAAAAAAGAAAUAAUUACCUUAGGGAUAACAACGUAAUAUUUUUAGAUAGAUCAUGUAAAUUAAAAUGAUUGC